AUUGAACGCUGGCGGCAGGCCUAACACAUGCAAGUCGAGCGGAUGAAGGGAGCUUGCUCCUGGAUUCAGCGGCGGACGGGUGAGUAAUGCCUAGGAAUCUGCCUGGUAGUGGGGGAUAACGUCCGGAAACGGGCGCUAAUACCGCAUACGUCCUGAGGGAGAAAGUGGGGGAUCUUCGGACCUCACGCUAUCAGAUGAGCCUAGGUCGGAUUAGCUAGUUGGUGGGGUAAAGGCCUACCAAGGCGACGAUCCGUAACUGGUCUGAGAGGAUGAUCAGUCACACGGGAACUGAGACACGGUCCAGACGCCUACGGGAGGCAGCAGUGGGGAAUAUUGGACAAUGGGCGAAAGCCUGAUCCAGCCAUGCCGCGUGUGUGAAGAAGGUCUUCGGAUUGUAAAGCACUUUAAGUUGGGAGGAAGGGCAGUAAGUUAAUACCUUGCUGUUUUGACGUUACCAACAGAAUAAGCACCGGCUAACUUCGUG
RNAcentral lists this ribosomal RNA (484 nucleotides) under uncultured bacterium. RNAcentral's name for it is "partial 16S ribosomal RNA". It matches the Rfam family "Bacterial small subunit ribosomal RNA", at positions 30 to 507 of the family's 1533-position model. The record is from RNAcentral.